This 1216-nucleotide ribosomal RNA is filed under the name metagenome. RNAcentral describes it as "bacterial SSU rRNA". It matches the Rfam family "Bacterial small subunit ribosomal RNA", at positions 272 to 1498 of the family's 1533-position model. The record is from RNAcentral.
GGCGACGAUCAGUAGGGGUUCUGAGAGGAAGGUCCCCCACAUUGGAACUGAGACACGGUCCAAACUCCUACGGGAGGCAGCAGUGGGGAAUAUUGGUCAAUGGGCGAGAGCCUGAACCAGCCAAGUAGCGUGCAGGACGACGGCCCUAUGGCUUGUAAACUGCUUUUAUAAGGGAAUAAAGUGAGUCUCGUGAGACUUUUUGCAUGUACCUUAUGAAUAAGGACCGGCUAAUUCCGUGCCAGCAGCCGCGGUAAUACGGAAGGUCCGGGCGUUAUCCGGAUUUAUUGGGUUUAAAGGGAGCGUAGGCCGGAGAUUAAGCGUGUUGUGAAAUGUAGGCGCUCAACGUCUGCACUGCAGCGCGAACUGGUUUCCUUGAGUACGCACAAAGUGGGCGGAAUUCGUGGUGUAGCGGUGAAAUGCUUAGAUAUCACGAAGAACUCCGAUUGCGAAGGCAGCUCACUGGAGCGCAACUGACGCUGAAGCUCGAAAGUGCGGGUAUCGAACAGGAUUAGAUACCCUGGUAGUCCGCACGGUAAACGAUGGAUGCCCGCUGUUGGCCUGAAUAGGUCAGCGGCCAAGCGAAAGCAUUAAGCAUCCCACCUGGGGAGUACGCCGGCAACGGUGAAACUCAAAGGAAUUGACGGGGGCCCGCACAAGCGGAGGAACAUGUGGUUUAAUUCGAUGAUACGCGAGGAACCUUACCCGGGCUUGAAUUGCAGAGGAAGGAUUUGGAGACAAUGACGCCCUUCGGGGCCUCUGUGAAGGUGCUGCAUGGUUGUCGUCAGCUCGUGCCGUGAGGUGUCGGCUUAAGUGCCAUAACGAGCGCAACCCCUCUCCUUAGUUGCCAUCAGGUCAUGCUGGGCACUCUGGGGACACUGCCACCGUAAGGUGUGAGGAAGGUGGGGAUGACGUCAAAUCAGCACGGCCCUUACGUCCGGGGCUACACACGUGUUACAAUGGCAGGUACAGAGAGACGGUCCCUUGCAAAAGGGAUCAAAUCCUCAAAGCCUGUCUCAGUUCGGACUGGGGUCUGCAACCCGACCCCACGAAGCUGGAUUCGCUAGUAAUCGCGCAUCAGCCAUGGCGCGGUGAACACGUUCCCGGGCCUUGUACACACCGCCCGUCAAGCCAUGAAAGCCGGGGGCGCCUAAAGUCCGUGACCGUAAGGAGCGGCCUAGGGCGAAACUGGUAAUUGGGGCUAAGUCGUAACAAGGUA